This 253-nucleotide ribosomal RNA is filed under the name uncultured bacterium. Its description in RNAcentral is "partial 16S ribosomal RNA". It matches the Rfam family "Bacterial small subunit ribosomal RNA", at positions 524 to 776 of the family's 1533-position model. The record is from RNAcentral.
UACGUAGGCAGCGAGCGUUGUUCGGAAUUACUGGGCGUAAAGAGUGUGUAGGCGGUGCUCUAAGUUCGGUGUGAAAUCUCCCGGCUUAACUGGGAGGGUGCGCCGGAAACUGGAGUGCUCGAGCGUGGGAGAGGAAAGCGGAAUUCCUGGUGUAGCGGUGAAAUGCGUAGAUAUCGGAAGGAACACCUGUGGCGAAAGCGGCUCACUGGACCAUAACUGACGCUGAGGCGCGAAAGCUAGGGGAGCAAACAGG